Molecule: ribosomal RNA, 497 nt
Filed under: uncultured bacterium
Lineage: Bacteria
Description: partial 16S ribosomal RNA
Rfam family: Bacterial small subunit ribosomal RNA
Source: RNAcentral
GAUGAACGCUGGCGGCGUGCCUAAUACACGCAAGUCGAGCGAACGGACGAGAAGCUUGCUUCUCUGAUGUUAGCGGCGGACGGGUGAGUAACACGUGGAUAACCUACCUAUAAGACUGGGAUAACUUCGGGAAACCGGAGCUAAUACCGGAUGAUAUUUUGAACCGCAUGGUUCAAAAGUGAAAGACGGUCUUGCUGCCACUUAUAGAUGGAUCCGCGCUGCAUUAGCUAGUUGGUAAGGUAACGGCUUACCAAGGCAACGAUGCAUAGCCGACCUGAGAGGGUGAUCGGCCACACUGGAACUGAGACACGGUCCAGACUCCUACGGGAGGCAGCAGUAGGGAAUCUUCCGCAAUGGGCGAAAGCCUGACGGAGCAACGCCGCGUGAGUGAUGAAGGUCUUCGGAUCGUAAAACUCUGUUAUUAGGGAAGAACAUAUGUGUAAGUAACUGUGCACAUCUUGACGGUACCUAAUCAGAAAGCCACGGCUAACUACGUG